UUGUGUGAAUACAUAGCACAUUCGAGGUAGACGCAGAGAACUGAAACAUCUAAGUACCUGCAGGAAGAGAAAGAAAAUUCGAUUCCCUGAGUAGCGGCGAGCGAAACGGGAAAAGCCCAAACCAGCAAGCUUGCUUGUUGGGGUUGUAGGACUCCAAUAUGGUAGUUCUUUCAGAUAGUCGAAUGACUUGGAAAAGUCAGUCAAAGAGGGUAAAAACCCCGUAGACGAAAUGUGGAAGACACCUAGGAGGAUCCUGAGUACGGCGGAACACGAGAAAUUCCGUCGGAAUCCGGGAGGACCAUCUCCCAAGGCUAAAUACUCCCUAGUGACCGAUAGUGAACCAGUACCGUGAGGGAAAGGUGAAAAGCACCCCGGAAGGGGAGUGAAAUAGAACCUGAAACCGUGUGCCUACAACAAGUCAAAGCCCGUUAAUGGGUGAUGGCGUGCCUUUUGUAGAAUGAACCGGCGAGUUACGAUUGCAUGCGAGGUUAAGUUGAAGAGACGGAGCCGCAGCGAAAGCGAGUCUGAAUAGGGCGUUUGAGUAUGUAGUCGUAGACCCGAAACCAUGUGAUCUACCCAUGUCCAGGUUGAAGGUGCGGUAAAACGCACUGGAGGACCGAACCCACGUACGUUGAAAAGUGCGGGGAUGAGGUGUGGGUAGCGGAGAAAUUCCAAACGAACUUGGAGAUAGCUGGUUCUCUCCGAAAUAGCUUUAGGGCUAGCCUCGGAAUUGAGAAUGAUGGAGGUAGAGCACUGUU
RNAcentral lists this ribosomal RNA (758 nucleotides) under Enterococcus faecium. RNAcentral's name for it is "partial 23S ribosomal RNA". It matches the Rfam family "Bacterial large subunit ribosomal RNA", at positions 154 to 914 of the family's 2925-position model. The record is from RNAcentral. Lineage: Bacteria; Bacillati; Bacillota; Bacilli; Lactobacillales; Enterococcaceae.